RNAcentral lists this ribosomal RNA (458 nucleotides) under uncultured bacterium. Its description in RNAcentral is "bacterial SSU rRNA". It matches the Rfam family "Bacterial small subunit ribosomal RNA", at positions 340 to 786 of the family's 1533-position model. The record is from RNAcentral.
UACGGAAGGCAGCAGUGGGGAAUAUUGCACAAUGGGCGAAAGCCUGAUGCAGCUAUGCCGCGUGUAUGAAGAAGGCCUUAGGGUUGUAAAGUACUUUCAUCGGGGAGGAAAAAACAAAACUAAUAAUUUUAUUUCUUGACGUUACCCGAAAAAGAAGCACCGGCUAACUCCGUGCCAGCAGCCGCGGUAAUACGGAGGGUGCUAGCGUUAAUCAGAAUUACUGGGCGUAAAGAGCACGUAGGUGGUUUUUUUAAGUCAGAUGUGAAAUCCCUGGGCUUAACCUAGGAACUGCAUUUUGAAACUGAAAUACUAGAGUAUCGUAGAGGGAGGUAGAAUUCUAGGUGUAGCGGUGAAAUGCGUAGAUAUCUGGAGGAAUACCUGUGGCGAAAGCGGCCUCCUAAACGAAUACUGACACUGAGGUGCGAAAGCGUGGGGAGCGAAACAGGGAUUUAGAUACC